RNAcentral lists this ribosomal RNA (465 nucleotides) under uncultured bacterium. Its description in RNAcentral is "partial 16S ribosomal RNA". It matches the Rfam family "Bacterial small subunit ribosomal RNA", at positions 28 to 507 of the family's 1533-position model. The record is from RNAcentral.
GACGAACGCUGGCGGCGUGCUUAACACAUGCAAGUCGAACGGAAAGGCCCCUUUGGGGGUACUCGAGUGGCGAACGGGUGAGUAACACGUGAGUAACCUGCCCUUGACUUCGGGAUAACUUCAGGAAACUGGGGCUAAUACCGGAUAGGAAUCCUUGCUGCAUGGUGGGGGUUGGAAAGCUUCGGCGGUUUUGGAUGGACUCGCGGCUUAUCAGCUUGUUGGUGGGGUAGUGGCUUACCAAGGCGUUGACGGGUAGCCGGCCUGAGAGGGCGACCGGCCACAUUGGGACUGAGAUACGGCCCAGACUCCGACGGGAGGCAGCAGUGGGGAAUAUUGCACAAUGGGCGGAAGCCUGAUGCAGCAACGCCGCGUGCGGGAUGACGGCCUUCGGGCUGUAAACCGCUUUCAGCAGGGGCGAAGCUUGUGGUGACGGUACCUGCAGAAGAAGCACCGGCUAACUACGUG